GAUGAACGCUGGCGGCGUGCCUAAUACAUGCAAGUCGAGCGAACAGACGAGAGUGCUUGCACUCUCUGACGUUAGCGGCGGACGGGUGAGUAACACGUGGGUAACCUACCUAUAAGACUGGGAUAACUUCGGGAAACCGGAGCUAAUACCGGAUAAUAUUUAGCUUCGCAUGAAGCAAUAGUGAAAGACGGUUCUGCUGUCACUUAUAGAUGGACCCGCGGUGUAUUAGCUAGUUGGUGAGGUAACGGCUCACCAAGGCAACGAUACAUAGCCGACCUGAGAGGGUGAUCGGCCACACUGGGACUGAGACACGGACCAGACUCCUACGGGAGGCAGCAGUAGGGAAUCUUCCGCAAUGGACGAAAGUCUGACGGAGCAAUGCCGCGUGAGUGAAGAAGGUUUUCGGAUCGUAAAACUCUGUUGUAAGGGAAGAACAAGUACGUGAGUAACUGAACGUACCUUGACGGUACCUGACCAGAAAGCCACGGCUAACUACGUG
Molecule: ribosomal RNA, 499 nt
Filed under: uncultured bacterium
Lineage: Bacteria
Description: partial 16S ribosomal RNA
Rfam family: Bacterial small subunit ribosomal RNA
Source: RNAcentral